RNAcentral lists this ribosomal RNA (493 nucleotides) under uncultured Marinobacter sp. RNAcentral's name for it is "bacterial SSU rRNA". It matches the Rfam family "Bacterial small subunit ribosomal RNA", at positions 1000 to 1492 of the family's 1533-position model. Lineage: Bacteria; Pseudomonadati; Pseudomonadota; Gammaproteobacteria; Pseudomonadales; Marinobacteraceae. The record is from RNAcentral.
CCAGAGAUGGAUUGGUGCCUUCGGGAACUCUGAGACAGGUGCUGCAUGGCCGUCGUCAGCUCGUGUCGUGAGAUGUUGGGUUAAGUCCCGUAACGAGCGCAACCCCUAUCCCUGGUUGCUAGCAGGUAAUGCUGAGAACUCCAGGGAGACUGCCGGUGACAAACCGGAGGAAGGUGGGGAUGACGUCAGGUCAUCAUGGCCCUUACGGCCAGGGCUACACACGUGCUACAAUGGCGCGUACAGAGGGCUGCCAACUCGCGAGAGUGAGCCAAUCCCUUAAAACGCGUCGUAGUCCGGAUCGGAGUCUGCAACUCGACUCCGUGAAGUCGGAAUCGCUAGUAAUCGCGAAUCAGAAUGUCGCGGUGAAUACGUUCCCGGGCCUUGCACACACCGCCCGUCACACCAUGGGAGUGGAUUGCACCAGAAGUAGUUAGUCUAACCCUCGGGAGGACGAUUACCACGGUGUGGUUCAUGACUGGGGUGAAGUCGUAGC